Molecule: ribosomal RNA, 117 nt
Filed under: Prolemur simus (greater bamboo lemur)
Lineage: Eukaryota; Metazoa; Chordata; Mammalia; Primates; Lemuridae
Source: RNAcentral
GUCUAUGGCCAUACCACCCUGAAUGCACCCAGUCUUGUCUGAUCUUUGAAGCUAAGCAGGGUUGGUCCUGGUUAGUGCUUGGAUGGGAGACAAAAUAAUCUGAGCUAGUGCUUGGCU